Molecule: small nuclear RNA, 124 nt
Filed under: Moschus moschiferus (Siberian musk deer)
Lineage: Eukaryota; Metazoa; Chordata; Mammalia; Artiodactyla; Moschidae
Description: U2 spliceosomal RNA (ENSMMSG00000008177.1)
Rfam family: U2 spliceosomal RNA
About the family: U2 is a small nuclear RNA (snRNA) component of the spliceosome (involved in pre-mRNA splicing). Complementary binding between U2 snRNA (in an area lying towards the 5' end but 3' to hairpin I) and the branchpoint sequence (BPS) of the intron results the bulging out of an unpaired adenosine, on the BPS, which initiates a nucleophilic attack at the intronic 5' splice site, thus starting the first of two transesterification reactions that mediate splicing.
Source: Rfam by way of RNAcentral
AUCGCUUCUAGGCCUUUUGGCUAAGAUCAAGUGUAGUAUAUCUGUUUUAAAAUCAUUAUUUGAUGGCUCUGGACAAAAUAUAUUCUUCAGAUGUAGCAGAGUUUACUUAAGAUAUGUAUUUAAA